Long non-coding RNA from Eupeodes corollae, 771 nucleotides. RefSeq lists it as uncharacterized. The record is from RefSeq and is a predicted model, not a curated record. The transcript has 3 exons. Lineage: Eukaryota; Metazoa; Arthropoda; Insecta; Diptera; Syrphidae.
ACUUUAUUGAAACACACAUAAGAUCUUAAUUGCACUACGGUUUCAGAAAUCUAAAACCGAAGAAACAUCUUAAAUUAUUAUAUUUCUAUUAAAAUUACAUACAUUGUGAAAUUUCAAUCCAAACAUUUAACAUUUCAUUCAGUUAAAGAGCUUAAAUGUUUAGAGAAUUGGGAAGUAAAUAAAAUACAUAUAACUAUGCACAUGAAAGUGAAAAGUAUAAAAGGUCAUGAGUAUUGUUAAGAAACAUCAACUUUCGGCAUAAGAAUUAUAAUUUAUUAUACAACCAAAAAAAGAUUAAAAACCCAUUGACACGUCCAUAAACCUUUGGUUGGAACCAAAUUGAUUUUCAAUAAGUGAAUGCAAAAAAGACGCUUUACCAAAAAUACAACACACAACAAAUUAAGAGACCAAAAUAGCUGAAAACGAAAAGAAAACCCACUAUCGACAAUAUUUGUCCCUAUCAUAGUGUUGUAUGUUACGUAAGUGAUAGUUCUAAGCUUAGCUUAUCAGAAUUUAAAAUAGUACCUAACCGAUUAAUGGAUCAUCAUCAUCGUGAGCUUUAAGCUGAUUUCCUUAAGAAAAGAACCAGAAUUUAUAACAAAAAUUUAUUAAUAUUUUAGUAUAUAAGUUUAAACAGACAAUUUAAGGCACCUAAUAUGAAUCUAUUAACAGAAAAUCAUUCAUAUUCGAUAAGUUAAAAAAAAUGUCAACAAAAUAACUAUAAAUUAUAAGCAAGGCAAUAUUAAACUAAGUUAUGAGUUAGAGUUAAGA